CUUCCUAUGGGAAUGUGAAGUCAGUAACUGUGAAUGUGCAAAAACAGAUGAACAGACAAAUCUGCAGUCAAAAAACCGAGCUGUACUUUUACAGUCAGAGACUGUUACGUUUUGUUGUCCCACUACUGCACUUGGUCUGUAUUAUAAACGUCAAUACAUCAAAUUAUUAAUAAUUAAACAAACUUUUUAUAUGACAUGAAUAAAAAGUCAUUUUAUUUGAUUUAUUCAAGUUUUCACCAAUUAUCCCUAAUCCACAUACAUUGUUUGUUUUUCUUCCACUCAACUUUCCAUUCAAAUGCUUGGAUGUUUUUUUAAUAUUUAACCAGUAUGUAAACUGGUUUAAACUGCAUUCCUCAUUUGUCUGUCUGUCCUCAUUCUUGUGUUGCAUUUAUUUGAGGUAGUUUAACUCUUGUAACGACAAUUAUCAGUCUUAUUGUAAACCUCAGCUGAGCUUCAGUUAUGUCAGACAGUUUAAAAGAUGCCCCAUCAUGGCUUCUCAAAAUAAAUGUGUGCUGAUAAUAUCUGAUUUGGUUCUGGUUUCAUUCGUCUGCUUCUUUUCGGACUCUUUCCGGCAACCAACCAGCUCAAACAUGAACAGUACUUUGCUGUCUGAAUGACAGAAAAUCCUGAGGAUGUUUAGAUGUAAAUUCAUUACUUUUAGCUUACAUGGACUUAGUUAAUAUGCACAAUAAUGACCUGAAGCACACAAGGAGGCCCCAUCCAAAUGGGUUAAGAACUAAAUGAAGUUAAAACAAUUCUGCUGUAUUUCCCCCAGAAUGACAGUAAAGACAAAAACUAAUUGACUUAGGACUCCUAAGUCAACUCUCCUAAGUUAGGAGACUAUUAGUUUUCUGCACAAGGUCAGAAUGGUUUGGAAAAUAUUUUCCUUUAAUAAAUGAACUCAUGAUUUAAAAACUGAAAUUAGUAUUUGCUCAGAUUAUCUAUCUCUAGUAACCAGAAACAUCUUAAAGACAUUAUUUGGCCUUUAAAGCUCAGCUAUGGUUUUCUAAAGGUAAACAUCUUCUGCAUCACCAUUAUUUUUGCAAUGCUUGAUGUUAAAAAGUUGCAAAAAUUACUUUGAAAAUGAAAUUAAUUGCUUAAAGACAGUCUAAAGUCAAUGUGGAAGGGAAAGGUCUAUAAUCAAUUAGACCAAAACUGCAAUAGUGAAAGUGAUGCAGGUACAACAUAUACAUCUGGCGUUUUUAAUCAAAGUAGUAAAGUGAGAAUAACAUCAGUCCUGCAGGUCGUCUUGUUGGGCCUGUUUGAGCCAAAACAUUCUGGUGUGAAUAAUAAAAGUGAAGCACAGACAGAACGUUUCCUCCCUGUUUGGUUUAGCAGCCUGUGAAUGUCCCUCACAACACAGCAGCAUGUGGGAAAAUUCAUUUCAUCACUAUAAAGGAAUGAUGAAGUGAUGUCUCACUCCCCGUUGGGAAACAUUUGCUCGGAUUUAGAUCAGGACCUCUGGAAACAGGAGGGAUUGAUUCUAAUCCGUGAGAUCCAUGAGCAAAAAGAGACCAGUUGUUCUGGGAACAGUUCUCGUGUUUGGAGAACGCGUCUGAAGGGGUGAAACUUUCCUAAAAUGUUCCUGUGAAUGAAAAAAUAAACUUCUUGAAAAAUAAAUUACUUCCAAGCCUGCUAACUUGAAUAUUGGGAUUUUUUUGAGAAAAAUUUCUAGAGAAAAUCUGAGAAGCAUACUCAAAAUAUCUGAGUUUUUUGGGGGGAAAUUUAGUCUUUUUUCUAACUACAAUUACACUAAUACUAAUGCUAAUCCACUCAGCUAAUGCGGGGAUAAAGAUGUUGGAGAGCAGUGGAUUGACCACAGCGCCCCCUGGUGGUUUAAGCUUAUACUAAACGCCUGCACUAGAGAAAACAAGGUCAAACUUUGGAUAUAUGAUCAAUUAAAACGACAGUGAACAAAACUGAGGACUUUUAUAAUUAUUAAAACAAUCUGUGUUUGUCAAUAACUAGGAACUCCAAGCUAAACUACAAGCUGGAUUGAUCCAGAUAAGAUAAAUGCUGAUGGUCUUCAAAAAGGUUUAUUUGUUGCAUCUUCUUAGGCUCCAAUCAGCUAACAGUAUUCCAGUACUUGUAGAGGAGAAAGAGGAAGGCAGCCAGGAGAACAGCAGAGAGGAUGUGUCUGGAUGACUUGAAAAACAAGAUGCCUUGGUUCAGUGUGCACACAAACACCAAGAUGGUCGACAUGACAACAAGCAGCAAUCUGAUCAGCUUUUCGAGGAUAAUCUGUGCUAUGCUGUCUUCGUGUCUCACAAUAUCCAUCUCUUGCUGCUGCUGCAGCUCCAUCUUCAGGAGAUGGCUCUGGCAUUUUUCCAGCGCCUCCUACAGAACAGAAAAGAUAAGAUAAAGUGGAAAUAACAUUGUUGGAAUGAAAUCUGGUGCUGAACGCUAAAUUGAUAAUAUUGCAAUAGUUGCAUUAUCAAUGUCUAAUACGUCUGAUAAAAUUCUCAAUACUUUCACAGAUCAGAACCGCAUGGAUCUGGAAAGGCUUUUAGCUCAGCUAGGUGAGUGGAAUCAACUAACUCACUCACUCUUUGGUUGCCUAGCAACAACCUGUCGAGUAACUUGCACAGCAACAGUUUCAUGCUGUGCCUCAAAACUGCUUAAAAAUAAAACACAAUGUUGUGGAACGAAAACUGUGGAUAAAACAGAAACGAUCACAUCACCAGUUUGGCAUAUUUCAGAUAUAAAAACAACAAAUCAAUAGCUAUUAAAGUCGACUAACAUAUCAUGAUAAGUUUUUCAGUCAUAUUGGGACCCCAUGAAAAAUUAUUGUAGAAAAAGCUUCAAAGCAUAUUCAUCUUUUACUGGAGCAUCAAAAUCUCAAACUGAACAUGUUAGAAAUAUCAAGUGUUUAAUUUGAAUGGAAAUAAAACUGAAGUUAUCUGGAUCUACAGAGGAACGAUCUAGAGUCACCACACAGCUUCAGUUAUUACAACUGGAAACUAAAGGUCAGCCUUCAGUCUGGGUGUGGUGAUGGACUCAGACCUGAACAUUCAGAGCAACAUAAAGACAGUUACAAAGUCAGACUUCUAACACCUGAAGAACAUUUCCAGGAUUAAAGCAAGAUGUGAUUCUUUGAGCAUAAAUACCAUGUACAACAUAAGAGUCUCCCGUAGGGAAUUAAAGGUACAUUUUUAAAGAAAAAGUUGGAAUUUUCAGAAAAUCUGGAGUAUUAAGGCAGGAAGUGAAACAUGGUUCUCAGUGAUGCAUGAAAACCUUAACUGGUUGCUUACAGAAAACUCCUCUGCUUUGCUGUUAUACCGAAUGUCAAUGAUUUUCUUUGUGCUGCUUAUCUCCUCUUUCAAGUUCGACGUUUCCCUCUGAUGGAGCUCAGUCAGGUAAGCGAGUUCCCGCUCCAAACCAUUCAGCCUGCCAACCCAAAACACCGCAUCACGAAAACAAGUCAGAACUCUGAAUUAUGAGCGCAUGCAGCAUCUGGUUGUGGUCCCGCUGGUACUCGGUUCUCAAGGUUUUCAGGGAUUUCUCGAGACUUCACAGUUUCCCUGGAAGAAGACCUGCUUCUGGUGCUGCUUGCCUGGAGCUUGUCUACAGAAGAUGAGGAUGACGAGUGCCUCCGGCCUCUAGCUUCACCUUCGUGGGUUUCAUGCAUGUCCUUCACUCUGCCAGACUUACGGAUGGAGAAGGAGAAUUUCACUGAUUUAAAUUUGUCUGUUAAAAAUAAAACGCCUCCAAAUGCAUCAGCUUGUGUUGAGGGAUAAAUUUGUGUGAUUCUUGAAUUGGAGUCAGGAGCCGCACAAAAUCAGUCCACCGGCCAAUAAAGGCCCCCGCGCCCCACUUUGGACACCCUGGUAUAGAUUUGAGUAAUUUUGUUGCCCCUUUCAUCCCCCCAGAUUUUCUUAGUUUGUUCCAAAAAAUAAUAAGAUGCUUUUAUUUUGAUAAUCCGGUGUUGAAGUCCUUCUUCACGUUAUUUAAAUGUGUUUAAUAUUAAUUAAUCUGCACAAUAUAGUGUUUAAUUAAAAAAAUUCAGCUCUUUUUUAUAGCAUCAAUCAGACAUGCUCAGCAUCUCCGUUUUGAAUCGUUUCCACCAACAAACAAAAACGGAUCUGGAGACGAAAAUGAGAAAAGCUGAACUGAAUUAUGAUUUCACUCACCUGGCUUCAAACCGGAUCAUCCGAAACGGGUCAGGGUUCGGAAAUGGAUCAUAGUUUGCGCCACCUGACUGACGCCGCUGAACUGUUGAACUACAGCCACGUUGCUAGGCAACAAAUUGUUCGAGUUACAGUUGGAAAAAGGCGAUUUAUUGCUAUAAAGGAUCAUUUUUAGCAGAAGAACAUUGAAAAAGGAUUUCUAACACACAUGUCUACUUUUCUGAAUAAAGAAAUGGAAAAACAAAAAUAAUCGAGCCUUUGAGGAGCACAGGUAGGGAAAUGAAAUCCAGGUGUUAAAAUAAUGUGUCACAAGUAAACAUGGGAAGUGACGUGUUAAUUAAAAAAAACAGCUAAAUGAAGAAAAUGAGAGCAGAUUUUAAACCAACUUCAGGACCGUAUUUUUUCCAAGGAUUAAAUCUUUUCCUGAAAUAAUGAGGCAAAAAAGACCGACGGCCACUUCCUGUCCCCACAUUAAUAAUUUCUUUUACAAUAAUGUGAAUAAUUUUGGAAGUAUUGCUCAAUUUAUUGAACUUAAAUUCUGUAAAGUUAGAUUACAUUUCAAUCUUCUCCUUCCUUUUGUUUUCCAGAUUUUUUGAAUCGAGACUCUUCAGAUUUGUAUAUUUUGUCGCCCUCUGCUGGUGCUUUAGGAGGAUUGGU
Long non-coding RNA from Xiphophorus hellerii (green swordtail), 4784 nucleotides. RefSeq lists it as uncharacterized. The transcript is spliced from 3 exons. The record is from RefSeq and is a predicted model, not a curated record. NCBI's taxonomy places the organism in Eukaryota, Metazoa, Chordata, Actinopteri, Cyprinodontiformes, Poeciliidae.